RNAcentral lists this ribosomal RNA (878 nucleotides) under Pseudoxanthomonas yeongjuensis. RNAcentral describes it as "bacterial SSU rRNA". It matches the Rfam family "Bacterial small subunit ribosomal RNA", at positions 78 to 954 of the family's 1533-position model. Lineage: Bacteria; Pseudomonadati; Pseudomonadota; Gammaproteobacteria; Lysobacterales; Lysobacteraceae. The record is from RNAcentral.
GCUCUCUGGGUGGCGAGUGGCGGACGGGUGAGGAAUACAUCGGAAUCUACCUUUUCGUGGGGGAUAACGUAGGGAAACUUACGCUAAUACCGCAUAAGACCUUCGGGUGAAAGCCGGGGACCUUCGGGCCUGGCGCGGAUAGAUGAGCCGAUGUCGGAUUAGCUUGUUGGCGGGGUAAAAGCCCACCAAGGCGACGAUCCGUAGCUGGUCUGAGAGGAUGAUCAGCCACACUGGAACUGAGACACGGUCCAGACUCCUACGGGAGGCAGCAGUGGGGAAUAUUGGACAAUGGGCGCAAGCCUGAUCCAGCCAUACCGCGUGGGUGAAGAAGGCCUUCGGGUUGUAAAGCCCUUUUGUUGGGAAAGAAAUCCUGCCGGUUAAUAACCAGUAGGGAUGACGGUACCCAAAGAAUAAGCACCGGCUAACUUCGUGCCAGCAGCCGCGGUAAUACGAAGGGUGCAAGCGUUACUCGGAAUUACUGGGCGUAAAGCGUGCGUAGGUGGUUGUUUAAGUCUGUCGUGAAAGCCCUGGGCUCAACCUGGGAAUUGCGAUGGAUACUGGGCGACUAGAGUGUGGUAGAGGAUAGUGGAAUUUCCGGUGUAGCAGUGAAAUGCGUAGAGAUCGGAAGGAACAUCUGUGGCGAAGGCGACUAUCUGGGCCAACACUGACACUGAGGCACGAAAGCGUGGGGAGCAACAGGAUUAGAUACCCUGGUAGUCCACGCCCUAAACGAUGCGAACUGGAUGUUGGGCACAACUUGGUGCCCAGUAUCGAAGCUAACGCGUUAAGUUCGCCGCCUGGGGAGUACGGUCGCAAGACUGAAACUCAAAGGAAUUGACGGGGGCCCGCACAAGCGGUGGAGUAUGUGGUUAAUUCGA